AGAACGAACGCUGGCGGCAGGCCUCAAACAUGCAAGUCUAGGGGGCGUAGCAAUACGUCACCGGCGGACGGGUGCGUAACACGUGGGAAUGUACUUACUGGUUCGGAACAACUCAGGGAAACUUGAGCUAAUACCGAAUGUGCCCGAAAGGGGAAAGAUUUAUCGCCAGUAAAUCAGCCCGCGUCCGAUUAGCUAGUUGGCGGGGUAAAGGCCCACCAAGGCGACGAUCGGUAGCUGUUCUGAGAGGAAGAUCAGCCACACUGGGACUGAGACACGGCCCAGACUCCUACGGGAGGCAGCAGUUGGGAAUCUUGGACAAUGGGGGAAACCCUGAUCCAGCCAUGCCGCGUGAGUGAUGAAGGCCUUCGGGUUGUAAACUCUUUCGACGGGGACGAUAAUGACGGUACCCGUAGAAGAAGCUCCGGCUAACUUCGCGCCAGCAGCCGC
This 447-nucleotide ribosomal RNA is filed under the name uncultured bacterium. RNAcentral's name for it is "SSU rRNA". It matches the Rfam family "Bacterial small subunit ribosomal RNA", at positions 26 to 518 of the family's 1533-position model. The record is from RNAcentral.